This 484-nucleotide ribosomal RNA is filed under the name uncultured bacterium. RNAcentral describes it as "partial 16S ribosomal RNA". It matches the Rfam family "Bacterial small subunit ribosomal RNA", at positions 29 to 507 of the family's 1533-position model. The record is from RNAcentral.
AGUGAACGCUGGCGGCAGGCCUAACACAUGCAAGUCGAGCGGCAGCGCGGGGGCAACCCUGGCGGCGAGCGGCGGACGGGUGAGGAAUUCGUCGGAAUCUGCCUUUUUGUGGGGGAUAACGUAGGGAAACUUACGCUAAUACCGCAUACGUCCUACGGGAGAAAGUGGGGGACCGCAAGGCCUCACGCAGAAAGAUGAGCCGACGACCGAUUAGCUAGUUGGUGGGGUAAAGGCCCACCAAGGCGACGAUCGGUAGCUGGUCUGAGAGGAUGAUCAGCCACACUGGGACUGAGACACGGCCCAGACUCCUACGGGAGGCAGCAGUGGGGAAUAUUGGACAAUGGGCGCAAGCCUGAUCCAGCCAUGCCGCGUGUGUGAAGAAGGCCUUCGGGUUGUAAAGCACUUUUGUCCGGAAAGAAAUCCCUGGAGCUAAUACCUUCGGGGGAUGACGGUACCGGAAGAAUAAGCACCGGCAAACUUCGUG